Molecule: ribosomal RNA, 629 nt
Filed under: Pseudomonas sp.
Lineage: Bacteria; Pseudomonadati; Pseudomonadota; Gammaproteobacteria; Pseudomonadales; Pseudomonadaceae
Description: bacterial SSU rRNA
Rfam family: Bacterial small subunit ribosomal RNA
Source: RNAcentral
CGAGCGGAUGACGGGAGCUUGCUCCUUGAUUCAGCGGCGGACGGGUGAGUAAUGCCUAGGAAUCUGCCUGGUAGUGGGGGACAACGUUUCGAAAGGAACGCUAAUACCGCAUACGUCCUACGGGAGAAAGCAGGGGACCUUCGGGCCUUGCGCUAUCAGAUGAGCCUAGGUCGGAUUAGCUAGUUGGUGGGGUAAUGGCUCACCAAGGCGACGAUCCGUAACUGGUCUGAGAGGAUGAUCAGUCACACUGGAACUGAGACACGGUCCAGACUCCUACGGGAGGCAGCAGUGGGGAAUAUUGGACAAUGGGCGAAAGCCUGAUCCAGCCAUGCCGCGUGUGUGAAGAAGGUCUUCGGAUUGUAAAGCACUUUAAGUUGGGAGGAAGGGCAGUAAGCUAAUACCUUGCUGUUUUGACGUUACCGACAGAAUAAGCACCGGCUAACUCUGUGCCAGCAGCCGCGGUAAUACAGAGGGUGCAAGCGUUAAUCGGAAUUACUGGGCGUAAAGCGCGCGUAGGUGGUUCGUUAAGUUGGAUGUGAAAGCCCCGGGCUCAACCUGGGAACUGCAUCCAAAACUGGCGAGCUAGAGUACGGUAGAGGGUGGUGGAAUUUUCCUGUGUAGCGGUGAAA